AUAGUUUGAUCAUGGGGUCACAGUGAACGCUGGCGGUAGGCCUAACACAUGCAAGUCGAGCGGAUGACGGGAGCUUGCUCCUUGAUUCAGCGGCGGACGGGUGAGUAAUACCUAGGAAUCUGCCUGAUAGUGGGGGACAACGUUUCGAAAGGAACGCUAAUACCGCAUACAUCCUACGGGAGAAAGCAGGGGACCUUCGGGCCUUGCGCUAUCAGAUGAGCCUAGGUCUGAUUAGCUAGCUGGUGAGGUAAUGGCUCACCAAGGCGACGAUCCGUAACUGGUCUGAGAGGAUGAUCAGUCACGCUGGAACUGAUACACGGUCCAGACUCCUACGGGAGGCAGCAGUGGGGAAUAUUGGACAAUGGGCGAAAGCCUGAUCCAGCCAUGCCGCGUGUGUGAAGAAGGUCUUCGGAUUGUAAAGCACUAUAAGUUGGGAGGAAGGUCACUAAUCUAAUACCUUGCUGUUUUGACGUUACCGACAGAAGAUGCACCUGCUAACUCUGUGCCAUCAGCCGCGGUAAUA
RNAcentral lists this ribosomal RNA (523 nucleotides) under uncultured bacterium. RNAcentral's name for it is "bacterial SSU rRNA". It matches the Rfam family "Bacterial small subunit ribosomal RNA", at positions 1 to 525 of the family's 1533-position model. The record is from RNAcentral.